AUUGAACGCUGGCGGCAUGCCUUACACAUGCAAGUCGAACGGCAGCACGGGAGCUUGCUCCUGGUGGCGAGUGGCGAACGGGUGAGUAAUACAUCGGAACGUACCCUGAAGUGGGGGAUAACGUAGCGAAAGUUACGCUAAUACCGCAUAUUCUGUGAGCAGGAAAGAGGGGGAUCGCAAGACCUCUUGCUUUAGGAGCGGCCGAUGUCGGAUUAGCUAGUUGGUGAGGUAAAGGCUCACCAAGGCGACGAUCCGUAGCGGGUCUGAGAGGAUGAUCCGCCACACUGGGACUGAGACACGGCCCAGACUCCUACGGGAGGCAGCAGUGGGGAAUUUUGGACAAUGGGCGCAAGCCUGAUCCAGCCAUGCCGCGUGAGU
Molecule: ribosomal RNA, 378 nt
Filed under: uncultured bacterium
Lineage: Bacteria
Description: bacterial SSU rRNA
Rfam family: Bacterial small subunit ribosomal RNA
Source: RNAcentral